RNAcentral lists this ribosomal RNA (439 nucleotides) under uncultured bacterium. Its description in RNAcentral is "partial 16S ribosomal RNA". It matches the Rfam family "Bacterial small subunit ribosomal RNA", at positions 339 to 795 of the family's 1533-position model. The record is from RNAcentral.
CUACGGGUCGCUGCAGUGGGGAAUAUUGGACAAUGGGGGCAACCCUGAUCCAGCCAUGCCGCGUGAGUGAUGAAGGCCUUCGGGUUGUAAAGCUCUUUUGGCGGGGACGAUGAUGACGGUACCCGCAGAAUAAGCCCCGGCUAACUUCGUGCCAGCAGCCGCGGUAAGACGAAGGGGGCUAGCGUUGUUCGGAAUUACUGGGCGUAAAGCGAGUGUAGGUGGUUGUCCAAGUUGGAUGUGAAAGCCUUGAGCUCAACUCAAGAAAUGCAUUCAGGACUGGAUGACUAGAGGACCGGAGAGGAUAGUGGAAUUCCCAGUGUAGUGGUGAAAUACGUAGAGAUUGGGAAGAACACCAGUGGCGAAGGCGGCUAUCUGGACGGUUUCUGACACUAAGACUCGAAAGCGUGGGGAGCAAACAGGAUUAGAUACCCUGGUAGUC